GCGAGCCGGUGGGCGGCUUUCAAGCCCUAUAAACCCUAUUUCACGCUUUAUAUUAGGGAGUAGGGCUUGGGGAAACUCCACCCACAUUGCGGAAGCGCAUGCUUGCAAGAGCUAGGGCGAGAGCCCUAAAGCCGAGAGCAGAAACGAAACUUUGAAUCAUUAAGCGAUGAAACGGAAACGUUGAGCUGUGAUCGAUUCAAGGGUGAAACGGCUCGGCUGCGCUGUGAAAGGGGAAAUAGGCGCCUAUGAGGUCCGCAGGAGGCGUGGGUACCCCGAUUAGAUAAAUGCCGCUUAAAACAGAAGGUGGGUUACGGCCGGCACGC
Molecule: RNase P RNA, 323 nt
Filed under: Candidatus Bathyarchaeota archaeon
Lineage: Archaea; Thermoproteati; Candidatus Bathyarchaeota
Also listed under: 1 other name
Description: RNase P RNA component
Rfam family: Archaeal RNase P
About the family: Ribonuclease P (RNase P) is a ubiquitous endoribonuclease, found in archaea, bacteria and eukarya as well as chloroplasts and mitochondria. Its best characterised activity is the generation of mature 5'-ends of tRNAs by cleaving the 5'-leader elements of precursor-tRNAs. Cellular RNase Ps are ribonucleoproteins.
Source: RNAcentral